This 474-nucleotide ribosomal RNA is filed under the name uncultured bacterium. RNAcentral describes it as "bacterial SSU rRNA". It matches the Rfam family "Bacterial small subunit ribosomal RNA", at positions 328 to 793 of the family's 1533-position model. The record is from RNAcentral.
CGCUAUCACUCCUACGGGGAGGCAGCAGUAGGGAAUCUUCCACAAUGGGCGCAAGCCUGAUGGAGCAACACCGCGUGAGUGAAGAAGGGUUUCGGCUCGUAAAGCUCUGUUGUUAAAGAAGAACACGUAUGAGAGUAACUGUUCAUACGUUGACGGUAUUUAACCAGAAAGUCACGGCUAACUACGUGCCAGCAGCCGCGGUAAUACGUAGGUGGCAAGCGUUAUCCGGAUUUAUUGGGCGUAAAGAGAGUGCAGGCGGUUUUCUAAGUCUGAUGUGAAAGCCUUCGGCUUAACCGGAGAGGUGCAUCGGAAACUGGAUAACUUGAGUGCAGAAGAGGGUAGUGGAACUCCAUGUGUAGCGGUGGAAUGCGUAGAUAUAUGGAAGAACACCAGUGGCGAAGGCGGCUACCUGGUCUGCAACUGACGCUGAGACUCGAAAGCAUGGGUAGCGAACAGGAUUAGAUACCCUGGUAG